GGGGAUUUAGCUCAGUGGUAGAGCGCUUGCCUAGCAAGCGCAAGGCCCUGGGUUCGGUUCCCAGCUCCA
This is a non-coding RNA of Rattus norvegicus (Norway rat), 69 nucleotides long. NCBI's taxonomy places the organism in Eukaryota, Metazoa, Chordata, Mammalia, Rodentia, Muridae. The record is from Rfam.